This 253-nucleotide ribosomal RNA is filed under the name uncultured bacterium. RNAcentral's name for it is "partial 16S ribosomal RNA". It matches the Rfam family "Bacterial small subunit ribosomal RNA", at positions 524 to 776 of the family's 1533-position model. The record is from RNAcentral.
UACAGAGGUCCCGAGCGUUGUUCGGAUUCACUGGGCGUAAAGCGCGUGUAGGCGGCUUGGCAAGUCGGGUGUGAAAGCCCUCAGCUCAACUGAGGAAGUGCGCCCGAAACUGCUGAGCUUGAGUGCCGGAGAGGGUGGCGGAAUUCCCCAAGUAGAGGUGAAAUUCGUAGAUAUGGGGAGGAACACCGGUGGCGAAGGCGGCCACCUGGACGGUUACUGACGCUGAGACGCGAAAGCGUGGGGAGCAAACAGG